CCUUACCUGGCCUUGACAUACUAAGAACUUUCCAGAGAUGGAUUGGUGCCUUCGGGAACUUAGAUACAGGUGCUGCAUGGCUGUCGUCAGCUCGUGUCGUGAGAUGUUGGGUUAAGUCCCGCAACGAGCGCAACCCUUUUCCUUAUUGCCAGCGGGUUAAGCCGGGAACUUUAAGGAUACUGCCAGUGACAAACUGGAGGAAGGCGGGGACGACGUCAAGUCAUCAUGGCCCUUACGGCCAGGGCUACACACGUGCUACAAUGGUCGGUACAAAGGGUUGCUACCUCGCGAGAGGAUGCUAAUCUCAAAAAGCCGAUCGUAGUCCGGAUCGCAGUCUGCAACUCGACUGCGUGAAGUCGGAAUCGCUAGUAAUCGCGGAGCAGAAUGCCGCGGUGAAUACGUUCCCGGGCCUUGUACACACCGCCCGUCACACCAUGGGAGUUUGUUGCACCAGAAGUAGGUAGUCUAACCGCAAGGAGGACGCUUACCACGGUGUGGCCGAUGACUGGGGUGAAGUCGUAACAAGGUAGGCGUAGAUGA
RNAcentral lists this ribosomal RNA (540 nucleotides) under uncultured bacterium. RNAcentral describes it as "bacterial SSU rRNA". It matches the Rfam family "Bacterial small subunit ribosomal RNA", at positions 969 to 1509 of the family's 1533-position model. The record is from RNAcentral.